ACUUGAAUAGCUUAUGUUUAGAGUAUAACAUUGAAGAUGUUAUUGAGGUUUAUACCUUCAAGUG
Molecule: transfer RNA, 64 nt
Filed under: Glyptotermes satsumensis
Lineage: Eukaryota; Metazoa; Arthropoda; Insecta; Blattodea; Kalotermitidae
Description: tRNA-Phe
Source: RNAcentral